This 479-nucleotide ribosomal RNA is filed under the name uncultured bacterium. RNAcentral's name for it is "partial 16S ribosomal RNA". It matches the Rfam family "Bacterial small subunit ribosomal RNA", at positions 28 to 523 of the family's 1533-position model. The record is from RNAcentral.
GACGAACGCUGGCGGCGUGCUUAACACAUGCAAGUCGAACGGAAAGGCCCGCUUGCGGGUACUCGAGUGGCGAACGGGUGAGUAACACGUGGGCAACCUGCCCUCAGCUCUGGGAUAACUCCGGGAAGCCGGUGCUAAUACUGGAUACGACUGCGCAUCGCAUGGUGUGUGGUGGAAAGUUUUUCGGCUGGGGAUGGGCCCGCGGGCUAUCAGCUUGUUGGUGGGGUAAUGGCCUACCCAGGCGACGACGGGUAGCCGGCCGGAGAGGGCGACCGGCAACACUGGGACUGAGACACGGCCCAGACUCCUACGGGAGGCAGCAGUGGGGAAUAUUGCGCAAUGGGCGAAAGCCUGACGCAGCGACGCCGCGUGAGGGAUGACGUCCUUCGGGUUGUAAACCUCUUUCAGCUCUGACGAAGCGAAAGUGACGGUAGGAGCAGAAGAAGCACCGGCCAACUACGUGCCAGCAGCCGCCGUAA